RNAcentral lists this long non-coding RNA (2300 nucleotides) under Equus asinus (donkey). Its description in RNAcentral is "lncRNA (ENSEASG00005030944.1)". Lineage: Eukaryota; Metazoa; Chordata; Mammalia; Perissodactyla; Equidae. The record is from RNAcentral.
UUUGGACGAGCUGCCCAGAGCCAAUGCAGCGCUCCUGCGCUAUCUUUUUGGAGUGCUGCACAACAUUCAGCAGCAUUCGUCCGUCAAUCAGAUGACAGCUUACAACUUAGCCACCUGCAUAGCCCCAAGCAUUCUUUGUUUGCCCAAUGCCUGCAGGCAGAAUUAGAAAGUGACAUCACAAGAAAGAUUUCUCUUGUGCAAUUUUUGAUUGAGAAUUGCCUCCAGAUCUUUGGAGAAGACAUUGCUUCCCUCCUGGGGGAGAGCUCCAUGCAUUGUGAUGGCAGCGAGAAGCCUGAAGAUCCUUCAACUGACUUCGGAGAAGACAUUGCUUCCCUCCUGGGGGAGAGCUCCAUGCAUUGUGAUGGCAGCGAGAAGGCUGCAGAUCCUUCGACUGACUUCGGAGAAGACAUUGCUUCCCUCCUGGGGGAGAGCUCCAUGCAUUGUGAUGGCAGCGAGAAGCCUGCAGAUCCUUCGACUGACUUCGGAGUGUCAACCAAGCAACCUUUCGAAUCCAAGCCCAGUGAGAGUGAUAGUGACUUACAAAAAGGCACAACUGCAGAAUGACGCCGAGGCCCCACGUGGCGUGGGUCCACCCAGCUCCCUGUCUGCAAUGCUUUCAGUCACUGAAGAUUAGAGUCUCCAUAAUCAUACUCGACCCUUUCCUUUCCUUUCCUUCCUGUAAUAUCCCACCAAGAACGCUUUCUCCAAAAUUCUACUACCUCCGUUAUGUUCUCAUCACGUAGACACCAGUCAGCUAAUGCCCCCGAAAUCAUUUUCAGCCCCUUGUAACAAAAAAGUGUGUGGGGGUGGUGAAUUUCUAGAAAAAUACAGGGUCAGAAAAGGAAAGUUUUCGUAGCUCCUGGGAAUCACCUCAGGACUCAAGAACAGUAAUUCCUGAGCUUGAAGAUUCCAGUCCUCAGUCACCACAGGGUCAGUAGAUUAGAUGGAAGGAUCCUCUCAGACAUCUCAGGAAAUAAGCUCCCAACGUGUCAGAGACCAAUUUUCAAAAAGUUAAACACAUGAAUCUCACACAAUAGAGUCUAAACUUGAGUCCAAAUGUUAUUCAACUCAUCUUACUGAGGAGACCAGUAAGGUGGUAAAGAAUGUUUUUGAGUAUAGUACUUUUAUGGCACCAAGCUGGGGCCAAAGAAGCAAAUUUUCUUUGUUGGACAUAAACAGUUAAUGUUUUAAAGGGUAAUCAAUCUAUAAGCUUUGAAUUUAUCUUCUCCUGUGACAAAAAUCUACAAAUUAACAUUAUUCUAUUUUUAUGAAAUACAGUGAAGGACAUCCAGAUUUGGACUCCUCCAUCUUACACUUCCCAUGCAAGCUUUCCUGGAGGGGAAUCUGUCCUCCCUCUGUCAACUCUCUCACCCACCCUUCACUUCUCACCCUGCUGACAUGUGGCCUCUCCCUGUCUUCCUUUCCAGCAGCCUCAGUAGAUCACAUUCAACCGAUCACCAAGCCCCUUCACCUGACAAACCAAAGCACAUCUUCUGGGAUUCCUAAGGCACUUGCCCUGCCAGGGUCUCGUAAUUCCUGAAUUCUAAUCUCGUUUCACUGGUAGUUCACUUCUCCCAGGUCAUGUGAUUUAUCUCCAUCUUCCUCUGUUUAUAUGGUUUCAUGGACUUUUCUACAUCUUCGCCUAAACCCGAGGACUCUUCACGUCAUUCCCAGGUGCCCUCAGCUCUAGUGUUGCCUCUGAUUCCCUGCUCUCCUAUCAUCCCACCAACGCUCAUCCCAUCACAGACCCAUGAGUGCAGCAGUGUCUUCUCUGGCCUCCCUGUCUCCAGUGGUGAAGUUGGGGAAGGAUGGCCCCAUGUAUGCCUCCCACCCUAAUGUUCCUACUUCAGGGUAAGCUCCCUGAGCAGGGAUGAGGCUGUCUAGCACAGCCUGGCAUUCCACUGCCAACCACCAGACUCAACACCAGGAAAAUAAUGAAACCCAAACCAUCAGGAACGGUAUCACUUGAGCAGAGCAUAGGUGCAAGUACCAUCCGUGUUAUAUGCAGAAACAUUCACCUUGACCCCAGGGGGGAUCUGGGCUGAGACUAGAUGACUGAAAUCUCUGGGCGAUGGUGAACACAGAAUUGGGGGACAGCAGAUAUGAAGACGCACUGAGCCACAUGCCAGACGCCCCAAGCGCAGAGAGAGCUUGUGAGCUUCUAGCGGUGGAGACUUGACACACUGCGGGAGAGGAAAAUGAAGUUACUGGACCCACUGAAACGGGACUCAUUGAUCCUCUAGCCCAUGGUGGGCAGUGUGCAUCAGCAUGGUCCUUCAGACGUAAACAGCACAGCCCAG